AUCCCGUCUGCUCGCGGGUCCUGGAGUCGGCACAGCAGCAGGAGGAGGUGGCGGAGGCGGCCUCGGGGCCACAGCCCGGAGCGGAGUCCUCAGCCGGCGGGGCGCGGGCCAUAGAGGAUGCAGAUUCCGCGCGAAAGUCAAAUGCAGAGGAGAUCUAGCUGCAUACUAGAGACCCAAAGAAUCCAGCUGAGGCCCUGGAUCCCACAGAAGUAUCCAGCACAAGUCCAGCUGAAGAUCUAGAGCACAAGGCAGCAUCCUCCAUGAGUCCAGCCAGUGGCCUGGAGCCCACGGCAGUGUCUCAUGCUUGUCCAUAUCAAGGAUCUGCACCCAGAAGGCCCAAAGGCCAAUGGUGGAAGCCAGAAAACCUGUGCCAGUGGGGUGAAGGAUUUGUGCCACCAAGCUGAGGGAUCCACAUUGGAGCCAGGAAGUGACUCUCAUGGUGAAGAUCAGAGCUCCUCUGACGAGAACAGCAGCCACUCCCAGUGACAGCAAGACUGGAGCUCCUCCUCUGGUGAGAACAGCCAAGUUCUCAUCAGGAAAACCAGCCACAGCAGGCCUCUCCUAGAAAAUCAACAGCCCAUGAUGAGCUUCCCCUCCAGGUCUCUUUUUAUGCCAUUGACAGCAAUCCUCAGGUAAUUAUUGUUCAGCAGUAAGGAGCCAUACUAUCCUCCACGGUCUCUUCAUAGAACUUCAGGAGUUGACAUCUCUGGACCUGUCAGGUUUCAUGCCCAGCAGCCAGCACACAGGAUGGACCGGGUAGACUGUGGUGCUGUGGGAGCCCCAGGUGGAUUCCUGUUCACUCAAGGGUGUUGAUUGGCGCUUGGGCUGGUGCCCCCCCACCUCAGUCCCCCAGGACUUCCCUGGACUCUAGCACUCCAGGCAGCACCUCUGCACCCUGUUUUCCCUCAAAACUCUGGUGAAUCUCCUGCUGCCUCACUUGACUACAUCCUAAGAGGUUUGUAGUACUACCUGCUUUAUCCUGAGAAGCCUUUUUGAAUUAAAAGGCUGUCAGUAAAUUAUUUGUUGAAUGAUAGGUAGAGUAUGUUUAGGGGCAGAUGGUACAAGAGAUUAGUACAUGAUUCUUGCAAAUAAAAAUGGAAUUAUCACAAAACACAAAGGUGCUUUUGGUAUCUUUCUGUCAGAGAUUAUUAAUAAUGAAGUCUUAUUUCUGUAAGAAACAGCCUCAUUUUAGCAAUGUAAGUCCUUAAUUCUUGAGUAGGGGAAAAAAAAACCCUUUUCCAUCAAGUUGGAUACAACCUUUAUUCCUUCAGAUGUAUUCUUUCUAACAUAAUUCAGUAUUUAAAAUGGA
RNAcentral lists this long non-coding RNA (1309 nucleotides) under Heterocephalus glaber (naked mole-rat). RNAcentral's name for it is "lncRNA (ENSHGLG00000049091.1)". Lineage: Eukaryota; Metazoa; Chordata; Mammalia; Rodentia; Bathyergidae. The record is from RNAcentral.